RNAcentral lists this ribosomal RNA (890 nucleotides) under Niallia taxi. RNAcentral describes it as "bacterial SSU rRNA". It matches the Rfam family "Bacterial small subunit ribosomal RNA", at positions 39 to 912 of the family's 1533-position model. Lineage: Bacteria; Bacillati; Bacillota; Bacilli; Caryophanales; Bacillaceae. The record is from RNAcentral.
GCGGCGUGCCUAAUACAUGCAAGUCGAGCGGACUUAAAAAGCUUGCUUUUUAAGUUAGCGGCGGACGGGUGAGUAACACGUGGGCAACCUGCCUGUAAGACUGGGAUAACUUCGGGAAACCGGAGCUAAUACCGGAUAAUCCUUUCCUACUCAUGUAGGAAAGCUGAAAGACGGUUUACGCUGUCACUUACAGAUGGGCCCGCGGCGCAUUAGCUAGUUGGUGAGGUAACGGCUCACCAAGGCGACGAUGCGUAGCCGACCUGAGAGGGUGAUCGGCCACACUGGGACUGAGACACGGCCCAGACUCCUACGGGAGGCAGCAGUAGGGAAUCUUCCGCAAUGGACGAAAGUCUGACGGAGCAACGCCGCGUGAGUGAUGAAGGUUUUCGGAUCGUAAAACUCUGUUGUUAGGGAAGAACAAGUACGAGAGUAACUGCUCGUACCUUGACGGUACCUAACCAGAAAGCCACGGCUAACUACGUGCCAGCAGCCGCGGUAAUACGUAGGUGGCAAGCGUUGUCCGGAAUUAUUGGGCGUAAAGCGCGCGCAGGCGGUCCUUUAAGUCUGAUGUGAAAGCCCACGGCUCAACCGUGGAGGGUCAUUGGAAACUGGGGGACUUGAGUGCAGAAGAGAAGAGUGGAAUUCCACGUGUAGCGGUGAAAUGCGUAGAGAUGUGGAGGAACACCAGUGGCGAAGGCGACUCUUUGGUCUGUAACUGACGCUGAGGCGCGAAAGCGUGGGGAGCAAACAGGAUUAGAUACCCUGGUAGUCCACGCCGUAAACGAUGAGUGCUAAGUGUUAGAGGGUUUCCGCCCUUUAGUGCUGCAGCAAACGCAUUAAGCACUCCGCCCUGGGGAGUACGGCCGCAAGGCUGAAACUCAAAGGAAUUG